This is a long non-coding RNA of Humulus lupulus (European hop), 545 nucleotides long. RefSeq lists it as uncharacterized. The record is from RefSeq and is a predicted model, not a curated record. The transcript has 4 exons. NCBI's taxonomy places the organism in Eukaryota, Viridiplantae, Streptophyta, Magnoliopsida, Rosales, Cannabaceae.
UACGCGAUUCUCCGCAUUUCUCCUGCUGGAAGCAAGAACCAGGCAAGAGCACUCUGACCUCCGUUUGAAUGUGUGAGGUACAAUGACAUUGCUAAGUAUGGUUUUGAAGCCGCACAGAACUCUGGUCCUGUGAAAGUGAUCCUGUGGGAGAGGAAGAGAAAUUAACCUUGCAAAAUACAGGUCAUGUUCGAAGACGUGAUGGCCUGGGAGAGAGAGCAGUUGUAUUCUAUACUUCUUUUAAGCUUCUUCUUCAUAGAGGUACAAGUGGAACCUUCAUAAUUCAGAUCUGGACAAACGGCUGAACUUUUUUGAAUCUAACUGGGCAUUCUUUUUAGGUUUUGGUAAAGUACUUUCUAACUUUAUUAUUGUUUUUGAGUCAGUUUGUCAUAUAUAUAAUUUUCAAUUUCUGCAGGUUAGGAGUGGUUUAUUUAACAUGAGAAUUCAUACUACUUGUUUCACAUGGUUUCUAUUUUAUUGUUUGAUCAAUAAUUGUGACCUCAAUUUUAAAUUGGUAACUUCUAAGUUAUGUGGCCUUCCUAUGUGAA